Molecule: ribosomal RNA, 464 nt
Filed under: uncultured Klebsiella sp.
Lineage: Bacteria; Pseudomonadati; Pseudomonadota; Gammaproteobacteria; Enterobacterales; Enterobacteriaceae
Description: bacterial SSU rRNA
Rfam family: Bacterial small subunit ribosomal RNA
Source: RNAcentral
CUACGGGAGGCUGCAGUGGGGAAUAUUGCACAAUGGGCGCAAGCCUGAUGCAGCCAUGCCGCGUGUGUGAAGAAGGCCUUCGGGUUGUAAAGCACUUUCAGCGGGGAGGAAGGCGGUGAGGUUAAUAACCUCAUCGAUUGACGUUACCCGCAGAAGAAGCACCGGCUAACUCCGUGCCAGCAGCUGCGGUAAUACGGAGGGUGCAAGCGUUAAUCGGAAUUACUGGGCGUAAAGCGCACGCAGGCGGUCUGUCAAGUCGGAUGUGAAAUCCCCGGGCUCAACCUGGGAACUGCAUUCGAAACUGGCAGGCUAGAGUCUUGUAGAGGGGGGUAGAAUUCCAGGUGUAGCGGUGAAAUGCGUAGAGAUCUGGAGGAAUACCGGUGGCGAAGGCGGCCCCCUGGACAAAGACUGACGCUCAGGUGCGAAAGCGUGGGGAGCAAACAGGAUUAGAUACCCCGGUAGUC